Molecule: ribosomal RNA, 97 nt
Filed under: Paenibacillus xylanilyticus
Lineage: Bacteria; Bacillati; Bacillota; Bacilli; Caryophanales; Paenibacillaceae
Source: RNAcentral
GGUUCCACACGUACCCAUCCCGAACACGACCGUUAAGCCCUCUAGCGCCGAUGGUACUUGGACCGAAGGGUCCUGGGAGAGUAGGACGUUGCCAAGC